Molecule: non-coding RNA, 1185 nt
Organism: Castor canadensis (American beaver)
Lineage: Eukaryota; Metazoa; Chordata; Mammalia; Rodentia; Castoridae
Source: RefSeq, a predicted model, not a curated record
UGUGCUCUGCUUUUGACUCUAGUUCUCACCUCUUUUUUACUGCUUUCUGAGACAGUUUCUCUCACUUUUCUGGUAUUUUUUAUGUCACCUAGUUUAUUUUCUAUUACUUGGAACUAAGAACUCAUACUAAUUCAGUUUGGAUUAUCUCAUCUGUUGAAAACUAUUGUCGACAUAAGGGUAUUUGGAGACUUUUUUUUGUGGUACUGGGACUUGAACUCAGAGCCUUCAUCUUGAGACACUCUGCCAGCCCUUUCGUGAUAGGUGUUUUUGAUAUAGCGUCUUGAACUAUUUGCUUGGGCUGACUUUGAACCAUGAUCCUCCUGAUCUCCACCUCCUGAGUGGCCAGGAUUACAGGCGUGAGCCACUGGCACCCAGCUAGGCCUUUAACAACUGAUCAGGUCAUGAGGUGAAGCCUGCCUAAAUUAGAUGAGAUUCCUUCAUCCCUUCUGCUUUCUAAGACUAGAGCAGCAAGAAGAUGAAGAACUAUGAAGAAAGAAGUUGACCCUCAAAAGACACCGAAUCUUCUAGGGCCAUGAUCUUGGACUUUCCAGUCUCCAGAACUGCCACAAUAAAACCUAUAUAGAAGCCAUUUUUAUCAUAAUAUAUUACCAGGUGGAGAAUUGAUAAAUACUUUCUGCAAACUGAGAAGAUCUCAAAAGUUGAAUGGAGCUUCUCAUGGAUGUACAAUGGCGGCAGCAACAACAGAAGCCUGGACUACCACACUGUUUCUUAUUGUCCAGAAUGCUACCACUUGUCUGAAUAUUGCACCUAUGGGACAAGACUAAGUUUCUGGCCAAUGCCUGCAGUUGAUCCUGAGGGACAGUAAAGUAUAAUGUGCCUAGUGACUGAAGCUUGUAUUCAUCUGCUAAUUAGUGAACUUAUCCAAUAAAUCAAUAUGGUGGAACCUAUCUUGAACCCAAUCACUGUGGCCAGUAGAAAGAGCUGUGCCAAUGGAAACUCUAGGCAAUAGCAUCAAAAUUGCAUAACCCAUAUUGAUUAUGGGUUAUUAUUAUUUGAAGGAAGCAAAAUGGAUACUGCAAAAUAAACAACUGCAGGGGAAUUUCCAGAUGUUUGUUUCCAUGAUUCAUUGGAUACAUAGAGUGUAUUUCAGUUUUCCAAUGCUGGCUCAGUUAAAAGUGUGCUCUCUCUUUCUGUCUGUCUGUCUGUCUCUCUCUCUCUCUCUCU